Molecule: long non-coding RNA, 602 nt
Organism: Passer domesticus (house sparrow)
Lineage: Eukaryota; Metazoa; Chordata; Aves; Passeriformes; Passeridae
Exons: 4
Source: RefSeq, a predicted model, not a curated record
CCUUGCAUCACAGCAGACAGCAAUGGAAACACGCUCCGUGAUUGGAACUGCUGCCCUCUGCAAUGCACCGUCUCCAAAAAGUCCCAGAAACCCUGCUGAGGUUUGUGUUUGAAGUGGAGCUGAUAAAUCGGAGCUGGUGCUACUUGAAUGAAGACAGAUUGUGAUUUUGGAACCAUGCCAGCAGCGUUGCCUGCAUUAAUUUUUGAAAAUAGCCGAAGGAGCAAAGUUAUACUGAGAAGAAGAGUCAUGCUGUGCCAUACUUCCUUUCUGAGGGAAGGAAGAAAACUUAAAGACUUCUGUUUCUUCCAGAGUAUAUUUCACCCAAGGAGUAAUUUUAUGUUCUAGAGUGUACAGAGGACCCAGAACAUAUUGGCUGGAAAAACCAUAUAAUUUAUGUGUUAGGUGUCUUAAAGGCCGUGUAGUGCUACUGCUUACCACACUACAGCUUAGAGAAUUUCCUGUGCAUUGUCACCUCUUCCCAGAUCUCUCUCCUAUGAAGGUUGUAACAUUGAGUCCAAUGAGCUUUCUGUUUUACUCUUCACUCAUCCAAUCUCUCCCAUAUCCUGAUCCUUAUCGCAAAUAAAAUUCCUUGGUAAACCAUU